Molecule: ribosomal RNA, 245 nt
Rfam family: Eukaryotic large subunit ribosomal RNA
CGUGAAAUUGUUGAGAGGGAAGCGCUUGUGACCAGACUUGCGCCAGGUGGAUCAUCCAGCGUUCUCGCUGGUGCACUCUGCCUGGUUCAGGCCAGCAUCGGUUUUCUCAGUGGGAUAAAGGCUUUGGGAAUGUAGCUCUUCCGGGAGUGUUAUAGCCCGUUGCACAAUACCUCUGAGGGGACCGAGGUUCGCGCUCUGCAAGGAUGCUGGCGUAAUGGUCAUCAGCGGCCCGUCUUGAAACACGG